This 646-nucleotide ribosomal RNA is filed under the name uncultured bacterium. RNAcentral's name for it is "bacterial SSU rRNA". It matches the Rfam family "Bacterial small subunit ribosomal RNA", at positions 57 to 691 of the family's 1533-position model. The record is from RNAcentral.
GCAAGUCGAGGGGCAGCACAAAGAUAGUUUACUAUUUUGGGUGGCGACCGGCGCACGGGUGAGUAACGCGUAUGCAACCUACCUUAUACAGGAGUAUAGCCCGAAGAAAUUCGGAUUAAUCCUCCAUAGUAUUUUCUAAUGGCAUCAUUUGGAAAAUUAAAGCUUCGGCGGUAUAAGAUGGGCAUGCGUCCUAUUAGCUAGAUGGUAAGGUAAUGGCUUACCAUGGCAACGAUAGGUAGGGGGCCUGAGAGGGUGAUCCCCCACACUGGUACUGAGACACGGACCAGACUCCUACGGGAGGCAGCAGUGAGGAAUAUUGGGCAAUGGAGGCAACUCUGACCCAGCCAUGCCGCGUGCAGGAAGAAUGCCCUAUGGGUUGUAAACUGCUUUUAUUUAGGAAUAAACCCUUCUACGUGUAGAAGGCUGAAUGUACUAAACGAAUAAGCACCGGCUAACUCCGUGCCAGCAGCCGCGGUAAUACGGAGGGUGCAAGCGUUAUCCGGAAUCAUUGGGUUUAAAGGGUCCGCAGGCGGACGUAUAAGUCAGUGGUGAAAUCCUGCAGCUUAACUGCAGAACUGCCAUUGAUACUGUACGUCUUGAAUUCGGUCGAAGUGGGCGGAAUGUGUAGUGUAGCGGUGAAAUGCAU